This 497-nucleotide ribosomal RNA is filed under the name uncultured bacterium. RNAcentral's name for it is "partial 16S ribosomal RNA". It matches the Rfam family "Bacterial small subunit ribosomal RNA", at positions 28 to 507 of the family's 1533-position model. The record is from RNAcentral.
GACGAACGCUGGCGGCGUGCCUAAUACAUGCAAGUUGAGCGCUGAAGGUUGGUACUUGUACCCACUGGAUGAGCAGCGAACGGGUGAGUAACGCGUGGGGAAUCUGCCUUUGAGCGGGGGACAACAUUUGGAAACGAAUGCUAAUACCGCAUAAAAACUUUAAACACAAGUUUUAAGUUUGAAAGAUGCAAUUGCAUCACUCAAAGAUGAUCCCGCGUUGUAUUAGCUAGUUGGUGAGGUAAAGGCUCACCAAGGCGAUGAUACAUAGCCGACCUGAGAGGGUGAUCGGCCACAUUGGGACGGAGACACGGCCCAAACGCCUACGGGAGGCAGCAGUAGGGAAUCUUCGGCAAUGGAAGAAAGUCUGACCGAGCAACGCCGCGUGAGUGAAGAAGGUUGUCGGAUCGUAAAACUCUGUUGGUAGAGAAGAACGUUGGUGAGAGUGGAAAGCUCAUCAAGUGACGGUAACUACCCAGAAAGGGACGGCUAACUACGUG